Long non-coding RNA from Mesoplodon densirostris (Blainville's beaked whale), 1063 nucleotides. RefSeq lists it as uncharacterized. Lineage: Eukaryota; Metazoa; Chordata; Mammalia; Artiodactyla; Ziphiidae. The record is from RefSeq and is a predicted model, not a curated record. The transcript has 3 exons.
GGAAGCUGUCCGUUGACUUCUGGGCCCCGCGGCGAGGGCCGGGGGUGUGGAGGCCUCGUUGCCUGACCUCGGGCUUAACACCCGGAAUCCUGCGUCCCCCCAGGCUCCACCUCCAUUUGGGACACCCGACUGUGUGGGUCGGAAAAGGCCCUUCACCGUCUCUGGACCUAGGUCGUCUCAUCAGUAAAAUAGGGUUAAAGGGAGAACGCAGCGCACCACGGAGAAUGCGUCUAACGUAGGCUCCGACUGAACUCUGCCUGUUUAAGGAUCACUUCUAGAAAUCCUUCUCAGCGACGCUUUCCCUGAAUCCGCAGUGGAGCUUUUCAUUUCCCUGCAGCUAACUCGGCCACACUUAUCCCCCAUUUUAUCUCUUUCUACCUUUUAUUUCUUCCUUUCCCUUUCUACCUCACGGGCCUCUAGAUGAGGUGUUGUGAACAGGACUUAAGUUGAAUAUUUGAUCUCCCACUCCUGAGCACAGCUUACCCAGCAGUGAUUCUCGGCCCGGCCUGCGCAAUCGGAUCGCCUUGGAGCACCUAAAAAAAUACUGGUGCUUGGGCCCUACCCCAAACCAAUUCAACCAAAAUCUCCUACAGUGGACCUGUGUGUCGUUCACCAAGAUGAUGUUGGUACAAUUAGUGAGAUGCAGCACACCACCCUUUGCCUCUGGAAGAGAAACCAGACUGCAAAGGGGACUGAGUACAGAAGCUGACGGAACUCAGAAGGACAAGACAAAAAAGCAUAAAUGUACCCGACUGGACAGUGCUUGGGGUCCCCUCUGCAGACACAGUUGAGAAAAUCCCAGAGGCUCUUGACAACAUGGAAUCCUUCUGUGAAAAUCCUGCUGCCCUUCUAUCAGUCUUCAUUGACCGUACCAAAAAACUUCAACUCAAAUUUAUGAAAAGCAGUCACUGUUUCCCUUUGGCCACAGGAAAGCUUGAGAGCGAAGACUGUCAUGUCUGCAAAGUGCUGGCAACACAUUCUGAUCAAUUUUCCAUGAUGCACUUGGUGCCUUAUACACAGUAAAUGACCAAGAAAUGUUUCAUUAAUUGAAUCAGAAACUAAA